RNAcentral lists this ribosomal RNA (253 nucleotides) under uncultured bacterium. Its description in RNAcentral is "partial 16S ribosomal RNA". It matches the Rfam family "Bacterial small subunit ribosomal RNA", at positions 524 to 776 of the family's 1533-position model. The record is from RNAcentral.
UACGGAGGGUGCGAGCGUUGUCCGGAAUCACUGGGCGUAAAGGGCGCGUAGGUGGCGCGGCAAGUCAGCGGUGAAAGCCCGAGGCUCAACUUCGGGUCGGCCGUUGAUACUGCUGUGCUUGAGCACUGUAGAGGCAGGUGGAAUUCCGGGUGUAGCGGUGGAAUGCGUAGAGAUCCGGAGGAACACCGGUGGCGAAGGCGGCUUCCUGGACCGACACUGACGCUGAGGCGCGAAAGCUAGGGGAGCAAACGGG